RNAcentral lists this ribosomal RNA (394 nucleotides) under uncultured bacterium. RNAcentral's name for it is "partial 16S ribosomal RNA". It matches the Rfam family "Bacterial small subunit ribosomal RNA", at positions 523 to 918 of the family's 1533-position model. The record is from RNAcentral.
AUACGUAUGGGGCAAGCGUUAUCCGGAAUUAUUGGGCGUAAAGAGUGCGUAGGUGGUUACCUAAGCGCAAGGUUUAAUCUUGGGGCUCAACCCCAUUCUGCCUUGCGAACUGGGCUACUUGAGUGCUGGAGGGGAAAGCGGAAUUCCCAGUGUAGCGGUGAAAUGCGUAGAUAUUGGGAAGAACACCGGUGGCGAAGGCGGCUUUCUGGACAGUAACUGACACUGAGGCACGAAAGCGUGGGGAGCAAACAGGAUUAGAUACCCUGGUAGUCCACGCCGUAAACGAUGAGCACUAGUUGUUGGGUCCGAAUGGAUUCAGUGACGCAGUUAACGCAAUAAGUGCUCCGCCUGGGGAGUACGGUGGCAACACUAAAACUCAAAGGAAUUGACGGGG